Molecule: small nuclear RNA, 107 nt
Organism: Fukomys damarensis (Damara mole-rat)
Lineage: Eukaryota; Metazoa; Chordata; Mammalia; Rodentia; Bathyergidae
Source: Ensembl
GUGCUCGCUUUGGCAGCACAUAUACUAAAAUUGGAACGAUACAGAUAAGAUUAGCAUGGCCCCUGCACAAGGAUGUCCCGCAAAUUCAUGAAGCGUUCCAUAUUAAA